Poecilia reticulata (guppy) is the source of this 485-nucleotide long non-coding RNA. RefSeq lists it as uncharacterized. Lineage: Eukaryota; Metazoa; Chordata; Actinopteri; Cyprinodontiformes; Poeciliidae. The record is from RefSeq and is a predicted model, not a curated record.
CCGGGUUUGGUAGGUGACGCAAACUUUGCUGCUGUUCACUGAUUGGCGGAGGGCGUGGUCAGAAGAGCGAGGCGAAGAGAAGAAAAAUGAAGGCGCAACGUUUGAAACUCGCUGCAACACGGAAGUGAUGGAAGAUACAAACAAGCCAUGAACUAAAAGAUGCCGGCUUUUUUCUUUCGGAUUUCAAUAUUCAGCCGGCAGCUCGAUGGAGCUGUGAGGAAUGAGUCGCUUUUAUCACGUAGUGGAGAGAAUGGAAAGCCUCGUUAGCCGCUUCAGAGCCGACGGUGAACACCGACUCAGACGCAGCUAACGCCGCUGCUGCUGUCCAGCCAGGGAGCAGAAGGAGAGCAACAUGGCUGACAUGAUGGAGAACCAUCACAACACCUGGAUCUCCUUCAGCAGGAAGCAGCUACCAGCUGAUGGCAGAGCAACAAGGAGAGUUGAGACAAACAAAAGAAAAAUAAAAGUUGUUGUGUCUCAGUGAA